UUUCUUUUUGGUUUGAAUUGAGAUUAUGUCACUGUGUGAAAAUGUAGUAUAGCACAGUAGCGUGAUUUUUCUCAAUAGCAAGCGAUGUUUUGCCGUUCGAAAUCGCCGGUAAUAUGAAUCGGAAAUCGCACAAGUCAUCUCUACAGUACAAUUUCCUUUCACGACUAAAGCAUUUACGAGACAAUUGCGAAUGACAUACACAACAUUGAAGACAAUUUUCGUGCCAUGGAUCUUCCGUCACUUUCAUUAAAAAUCUAUCCUCGAUAGGCUGAUGGCAGCCUGUGCAGAUAUUCAACACGUUGCCAGUGAGACAGGUUGAGUUUUGAUUUCCUCCUAAAUGAAACUUGGAAUGAAUAAGAAGUUCGUAGAAUAAAAUUAUGAAGGCUA
Long non-coding RNA from Xenia sp. Carnegie-2017, 387 nucleotides. RefSeq lists it as uncharacterized. The record is from RefSeq and is a predicted model, not a curated record. Lineage: Eukaryota; Metazoa; Cnidaria; Anthozoa; Malacalcyonacea; Xeniidae. The transcript has 2 exons.